GUAAAAAGACCAGACAGUCUGAACUCGGAUCCUCCCAGCCCACCUCAGAAUCAGUUAGGGCAACCUAUGGCUCCCCCAACUCAAAAUCAGUAUGGUCAACCUAUGGCUCCUGCACCUCAGUAUCAGUACGGUCAACCUAUGGCUCCACCGACUCAAAAUCAGUAUGGUCAACCUCUGGCUCCUCCGACUCAAAAUCAAUACGAUCAACCUCUGGCUCCUCCGACUCAAAAUCAAUAUGGUCAACCUAUGGCUCCACCAACUCCGCCCCCACCCGGACCAAACGAGGAUUCAAUGACUCCCCCACCUCAGAAUCAGAAUGGGGAUGGGCAGUUCAUGCCUCCUCCCACUUUGGACCAAGAUCCAAACGACCAG
RNAcentral lists this long non-coding RNA (372 nucleotides) under Arabidopsis thaliana (thale cress). Its description in RNAcentral is "long non-coding RNA (ATHA_LNC000405)". The record is from RNAcentral. Lineage: Eukaryota; Viridiplantae; Streptophyta; Magnoliopsida; Brassicales; Brassicaceae.